Molecule: ribosomal RNA, 468 nt
Filed under: uncultured bacterium
Lineage: Bacteria
Description: partial 16S ribosomal RNA
Rfam family: Bacterial small subunit ribosomal RNA
Source: RNAcentral
GACGAACGCUGGCGGCGUGCUCAACACAUGCAAGUCGAACGGAAAGGCCCUGCUUUUGUGGGGUGCUCGAGUGGCGAACGGGUGAGUAACACGUGAGUAACCUGCCCUUGACUUUGGGAUAACUUCAGGAAACUGGGGCUAAUACCGGAUAGGAGCUCCUGCUGCAUGGUGGGGGUUGGAAAGUUUCGGCGGUUGGGGAUGGACUCGCGGCUUAUCAGCUUGUUGGUGGGGUAGUGGCUUACCAAGGCUUUGACGGGUAGCCGGCCUGAGAGGGUGACCGGCCACAUUGGGACUGAGAUACGGCCCAGACUCCUGCGGGAGGCAGCAGUGGGGAAUAUUGCACAAUGGGCGGAAGCCUGAUGCAGCAACGCCGCGUGCGGGAUGACGGCCUUCGGGUUGUAAACCGCUUUCGCCUGUGACGAAGCGUGAGUGACGGUAAUGGGUAAAGAAGCACCGGCUAACUACGUG